UAAUGGACCAGGUGGGUGCAAUCGAAGACUUUCCUUCACAACUGCUUGUAAGAAAGGUAGCUUGCAAAUAUGUGAUUCUUCAAUCGUUUCAUCUUUACCAAUUUCUUGACAUAGCUCUUUUUUUGCUUUUGUUAAUUUUUCAGGAUUACGUAAUAGCUCUGCCAUGAUCCAUUCGAUUGUGCAUGAUGUUGUAUCAAUCCCAGCAACAAAUAAAUCCUAACAAAAUAUUGUUUCAACAUUCAAUUAAGUUUGCAGUAAUGUAGAAAAAAUAAUAUUGAGAAAUAUUUUUUGUAACACAAUUUUAUGAUUAUAUCAAUAGUCACUUUCAUUAUUUUAUUAAUCAUAAAAUAUUAUUA
Molecule: long non-coding RNA, 356 nt
Filed under: Lathyrus oleraceus (garden pea)
Lineage: Eukaryota; Viridiplantae; Streptophyta; Magnoliopsida; Fabales; Fabaceae
Description: Pisum sativum (pea) long non-coding RNA (PSAT_LNC010481)
Source: RNAcentral